Molecule: unclassified non-coding RNA, 377 nt
Filed under: Bacillus sp. (in: firmicutes)
Lineage: Bacteria; Bacillati; Bacillota; Bacilli; Caryophanales; Bacillaceae
Description: Bacillus sp. (in: Bacteria) contains 16S-23S intergenic spacer region
Source: RNAcentral
UCCGGUUUGUCACCGGCAGUCACCUUAGAGUGCCCAACUAAAUGCUGGCAACUAAGAUCAAGGGUUGCGCUCGUUGCGGGACUUAACCCAACAUCUCACGACACGAGCUGACGACAACCAUGCACCACCUGUCACUCUGUCCCCGAAGGGAAAGCCCUAUCUCUAGGGUUGUCAGAGGAUGUCAAGACCUGGUAAGGUUCUUCGCGUUGCUUCGAAUUAAACCACAUGCUCCACCGCUUGUGCGGGCCCCCGUCAAUUCCUUUGAGUUUCAGUCUUGCGACCGUACUCCCCAGGCGGGGUGCUUAGUGCGUUAGCGACGGCACCGGGGGGGUCGAUACCCCCGACACCUAGCACCCAUCGUUUACCGCGUGGACUAC